RNAcentral lists this ribosomal RNA (497 nucleotides) under uncultured bacterium. RNAcentral describes it as "partial 16S ribosomal RNA". It matches the Rfam family "Bacterial small subunit ribosomal RNA", at positions 29 to 507 of the family's 1533-position model. The record is from RNAcentral.
AAUGAACGCUGGCGGCGUGCCUAAUACAUGCAAGUCGAGCGAACGGACGAGAAGCUUGCUUCUCUGAUGUUGGCGGCGGACGGGUGAGUAACACGUGGAUAACCUACCUCUAGGACUGGGAUAACUUCGGGAAACCGUAGCUAAUACCGGAUCAUAUUUUGAACCGCAUGGUUCAAAAGUGAUAGACGGUCUUGCUGUCACUUAUAGCUGGAUCCGCGCUGCCUUAGCUAGUUGGUAAGGUAACGGCUUACCAAGGCAACGAUGCAUAACCGACCUGAGAGGGUGAUCGGCCACACUGGAACUGAGACACGGUCCAGACUCCUACGGGAGGCAGCAGUAGGGAAUCUUCCGCAAUGGGCGAAAGCCUGACGGAGCAACGCCGCGUGAGUGAUGAAGGUCUUCGGAUCGUAAAACUCUGUUAUUAGGGAAGAACAUAUGUGUAAGUAACUGUGCCCAUCUUGACGGUACCUAAUCAGAAAGCCACGGCUAACUACGUG